AGUAUGAUCUUUAAAUUAUUCCUGCAACUUUGUAAAAACUUGAUGCUGCAACUUCUAUUCAUAAAGAAUGAGGAGGAGGAAUACACCCAAGCUUUAAAAGCAAUGCAAAAUAUUGUACGUGAGUUUUUUUAAGCAGAACCCCGAGAGGUCAGGAACUACAUCCAAGAAGACAAGACUUACCUGGGACUUGGUAACUUAAUAGUGAAAAACAAUCUGAGCAGUAAACUUGGAAAUUGAACUUCAUAUGAUCCAUGAAAAUAAAGCAUCUCAAGGUUCUUCACAUACAUCCAGGAAAACCCGAGUGGUAACACUGCACUCAGAACUUUCAGUGGUUUAGACCAAGAAGUCAUGAUUCUAAGAGCAAAGUUUAAAAUAAUCUCUUUUGGGAAUUAGGUUCUAUUCAGAAUAUGUCCUGCAUGCUCC
Myotis myotis is the source of this 423-nucleotide long non-coding RNA. RefSeq lists it as uncharacterized. The record is from RefSeq and is a predicted model, not a curated record. The transcript has 4 exons. Lineage: Eukaryota; Metazoa; Chordata; Mammalia; Chiroptera; Vespertilionidae.